UACGAAGGGGGCUAGCGUUGUUCGGAAUUACUGGGCGUAAAGCGCACGUAGGCGGAUACUUAAGUCAGGGGUGAAAUCCCGGGGCUCAACCCCGGAACUGCCUUUGAUACUGGGUAUCUCGAGUCCGGAAGAGGUGAGUGGAAUUCCGAGUGUAGAGGUGAAAUUCGUAGAUAUUAGGAAGAACACCAGUGGCGAAGGCGGCUUACUGGUCCGGUACUGACGCUGAGGUGCGAAAGCGUGGGGAGCAAACAGG
Molecule: ribosomal RNA, 253 nt
Filed under: uncultured bacterium
Lineage: Bacteria
Description: partial 16S ribosomal RNA
Rfam family: Bacterial small subunit ribosomal RNA
Source: RNAcentral